This 765-nucleotide ribosomal RNA is filed under the name uncultured bacterium. RNAcentral describes it as "bacterial SSU rRNA". It matches the Rfam family "Bacterial small subunit ribosomal RNA", at positions 625 to 1390 of the family's 1533-position model. The record is from RNAcentral.
AUUCGAAACUGGCAGGCUAGAGUCUUGUAGAGGGGGGUAGAAUUCCAGGUGUAGCGGUGAAAUGCGUAGAGAUCUGGAGGAAUACCGGUGGCGAAGGCGGCCCCCUGGGCAAAGACUGACGCUCAGGUGCGAAAGCGUGGGGAGCAAACAGGAUUAGAUACCCUGGUAGUCCACGCCGUAAACGAUGUCGACUUGGAGGUUGUGCCCUUGAGGCGUGGCUUCCGGAGCUAACGCGUUAAGUCGACCGCCUGGGGAGUACGGCCGCAAGGUUAAAACUCAAAUGAAUUGACGGGGGCCCGCACAAGCGGUGGAGCAUGUGGUUUAAUUCGAUGCAACGCGAAGAACCUUACCUACUCUUGACAUCCAGAGAACUUUCCAGAGAUGGAUUGGUGCCUUCGGGAACUCUGAGACAGGUGCUGCAUGGCUGUCGUCAGCUCGUGUUGUGAAAUGUUGGGUUAAGUCCCGCAACGAGCGCAACCCUUAUCCUUUGUUGCCAGCGGUCCGGCCGGGAACUCAAAGGAGACUGCCAGUGAUAAACUGGAGGAAGGUGGGGAUGACGCCAAGUCAUCACGGCCCUUACGAGUAGGGCUACACACGUGCUACAAUGGCGCAUACAAAGAGAAGCGACCUCGCGAGAGCAAGCGGACCUCAUAAAGUGCGUCGUAGUCCGGAUUGGAGUCUGCAACUCGACUCCAUGAAGUCGGAAUCGCUAGUAAUCGUAGAUCAGAAUGCUACGGUGAAUACGUUCCCGGGCCUUGCACACAC